UAGACAGCCAAUGGAUCUGCUUACAUAAGUGGGUUUAUGAAAAGAUUUCAAUAAAGCUGGUAAUAAUAAUGCCAUGGUACAAGCCUGAAAUCAAAGUCAUUAAGGUCCCUGAGAAUGGCUACAACA
This is a small nucleolar RNA of Dipodomys ordii (Ord's kangaroo rat), 126 nucleotides long. Lineage: Eukaryota; Metazoa; Chordata; Mammalia; Rodentia; Heteromyidae. The record is from Ensembl.